GGGGGUAUAGCUCAGUGGUAGAGCAUUUGACUGUAGAUCGAGCGGUCCCCGGUUCAAACCCGGGAGUCUUCU
RNAcentral lists this transfer RNA (72 nucleotides) under Trichonephila inaurata madagascariensis. It matches the Rfam family "tRNA". From Rfam's summary of the family: Transfer RNA (tRNA) molecules are approximately 80 nucleotides in length. Their secondary structure includes four short double-helical elements and three loops (D, anti-codon, and T loops). The record is from Rfam by way of RNAcentral. Lineage: Eukaryota; Metazoa; Arthropoda; Arachnida; Araneae; Nephilidae.